GGGGCACAAGCCGUCGAGCAUGUGGUUUAAUUCGAUGCAACGCGAAGAACCUUACCGGAAACAGACAUACGAAGAACUGUCCAGAGAUGGAUUGGUGCCUUCGGGAACUUACAUACAGGUGCUGCAUGGCUGUCGUCAGCUCGUGUCGUGAGAUGUUGGGUUAAGUCCCGCAACGAGCGCAACCCUUUUCCUUAUUUGCCAUCGGGUUAAGCCGGGAACUUUAAGGAUACUGCCAGUGACAAACUGGAGGAAGGCGGGGACGACGUCAAGUCAUCAUGGCCCUUACGACCAGGGCUACACACGUGCUACAAUGGUCGGUACAAAGGGUUGCUACCUAGCGAUAGGAUGCUAAUCUCAAAAAGCCGAUCGUAGUCCGGAUUGGAGUCUGCAACUCGACUCCAUGAAGUACAAAUCGCUAGUAAUCGCGGAUCAGAAUGCCGCGGUGAAUACGUUCCCGGGCCACA
This 464-nucleotide ribosomal RNA is filed under the name Acinetobacter johnsonii. Its description in RNAcentral is "bacterial SSU rRNA". It matches the Rfam family "Bacterial small subunit ribosomal RNA", at positions 923 to 1375 of the family's 1533-position model. The record is from RNAcentral. Lineage: Bacteria; Pseudomonadati; Pseudomonadota; Gammaproteobacteria; Moraxellales; Moraxellaceae.